AAAACUUUAAGUUAAAAAAACUUUAAACCUUCAAAGUUUAAAAUAAAAGUACCAAUCUUUCAAGUUUUA
This 69-nucleotide transfer RNA is filed under the name Allacma fusca. RNAcentral describes it as "tRNA-Trp". It matches the Rfam family "tRNA". Rfam says of the family: Transfer RNA (tRNA) molecules are approximately 80 nucleotides in length. The record is from RNAcentral. Lineage: Eukaryota; Metazoa; Arthropoda; Collembola; Symphypleona; Sminthuridae.